UACGAAGGGUGCAAGCGUUAAUCGGAAUUACUGGGCGUAAAGAGCGCGCAGGCGGUCGUUCAAGUCGAGUGUGAAAGCCCCCGGCUCAACUGGGGAGGGGUCAUUCGAUACUGAUCGACUCGAAGGCAGGAGAGGGAAGCGGAAUUCCCGGUGUAGUGGUGAAAUGCGUAGAUAUCGGGAGGAACACCAGUGGCGAAGGCGGCUUCCUGGCCUGUUCUUGACGCUGAGGCGCG
This 233-nucleotide ribosomal RNA is filed under the name uncultured bacterium. Its description in RNAcentral is "partial 16S ribosomal RNA". It matches the Rfam family "Bacterial small subunit ribosomal RNA", at positions 524 to 755 of the family's 1533-position model. The record is from RNAcentral.